RNAcentral lists this ribosomal RNA (414 nucleotides) under uncultured bacterium. Its description in RNAcentral is "bacterial SSU rRNA". It matches the Rfam family "Bacterial small subunit ribosomal RNA", at positions 355 to 786 of the family's 1533-position model. The record is from RNAcentral.
UCGGGAAUAUUGCGCAAUGGAGGGAACUCUGACGCAGUGACGCCGCGUAUAGGAAGAAGGUUUUCGGAUUGUAAACUAUUGUCGUUAGGGAAGAAAAAAGACAGUACCUAAGGAGGAAGCUCCGGCUAACUACGUGCCAGCAGCCGCGGUAAUACGUAGGGAGCAAGCGUUAUCCGGAUUUAUUGGGUGUAAGGGUGCGUAGACGGGCGAUCAAGUUAGUUGUGAAAUCCCUCGGCUCAACUGAGGAACUGCAACUAAAACUGGUUGUCUUGAGUGCAGGAGAGGUAAGUGGAAUUCCUAGUGUAGCGGUGAAAUGCGUAGAUAUUAGGAGGAACACCAGUGGCGAAGGCGACUUACUGGACUGUAACUGACGUUGAGGCACGAAAGUGUGGGGAGCAAACAGGAUUAGAUACC